RNAcentral lists this unclassified non-coding RNA (355 nucleotides) under Hevea brasiliensis (rubber tree). Lineage: Eukaryota; Viridiplantae; Streptophyta; Magnoliopsida; Malpighiales; Euphorbiaceae. The record is from RNAcentral.
AACCAGAACCAGAAGUAGAGGAAUAAGCAGACAAGGGAGGAGAAGGAGAAGAAGAAGAUGAUGAAUAAACACCAGGAGAAUAUGCAGAAGAAGAAGCAGAACCAAGUCCAAUACUACCAUAACUAGAUGUUAUUGCACUUCCUAAACCAGCCCCAUAUCCCCAAUCACCAGCUCUUUGGCCUGAUACCACAUGAGAAAGAGCUGAAACCAUUGUAGUCAUCUCCCUUGUACUACUAUCAUAUCCAGGAAACACAGUUGGCGACUGUGUGUCGACUUGUCCUGGCUGAUUUAACACCGAUUGUGGGUAUAUCUCAUCAUGAUCAUCAUCGCCGCUAUCUGUAGUAGCAGGGCACCU